CCUACACGGGCCUCUUUCGCCUUCACACGGGCGAAAACGUCGUGGCUAUCGAUCCCAGCAUUUGCAAGCUAUUACGAUCCAAACUGGCUCAUCCAUGGCUUCGCAAGAUACAGGUGGGCCGUUGCCUAAAUUCGGCGAGUGGGAUGUGAAUAACCCUGCCUCGGCUGAAGGAUAUACAGUCAUAUUUAAGAGGGCUAGAGAUGAGAAGAAGACUGGCUAUGCUAACAUGGUAACUCCGAGGAAAUCUGAACCUACGUACAGGCAUGAAAGUUAUCCUCGUUACCCUCGAAAGAGCAAGUGGUUUUGCUGCGGUUAGAGCCUUGGAGCAUAACGUAUAAUCAAAAAGAUUGUAUAAGUCUUCUUCCAAGCAAUGCUGUGUGGAUCGUGCUCUUGCAAAUCUGGGGAGUGAAGUAUGGCUUACGGUCUUUUUUUUUUUUUUCAAAUUGAUUUUUCCGAUUACUUUUUCAUCUUCUCUGUGCUUGUGAAUUGAAGUUCUAUGCCAAAUUUAACAAGGAAACAAUACA
Molecule: long non-coding RNA, 524 nt
Organism: Prosopis cineraria
Lineage: Eukaryota; Viridiplantae; Streptophyta; Magnoliopsida; Fabales; Fabaceae
Exons: 3
Source: RefSeq, a predicted model, not a curated record